This is a long non-coding RNA of Larimichthys crocea (large yellow croaker), 147 nucleotides long. RefSeq lists it as uncharacterized. NCBI's taxonomy places the organism in Eukaryota, Metazoa, Chordata, Actinopteri, Sciaenidae. The transcript has 2 exons. The record is from RefSeq and is a predicted model, not a curated record.
UGUACAGCUGAGAACGUGCUGGGGAGGAGGACAUCUGAAUCCAUCUCUGUUAAUGUGAAAUAUGCUCCAAAGCUUCCCUCUGUGUCAGUGAGUCCCUCUGCUGAGAUAGUGGAGAACAGUUCAGUCAAUCUGACCUGUAGCAGUGAU